CUUGGUGAUUCCCUUUUCCUUUGGUUCUUUCUUCUUGUAUCUGUUUUUUUUCUAUUAAUAUAUUAAAGAUUUUAGAAAAAAACAUUCAUUUCCUAGCCUGCCUAAUUUUUCUGAGUGAUUCUACAGGAGGAAGAUGUAAGAUGUUACUUUCCAGUCAUUUCUAAUUUAGUUUGGGAGAAGAAAGAAAAAAAAAGGAAAGAGAGAACAGAAAAAAGAAAUGAGGGAAGAAAAAAAUGGAAAUGAAGAAUGGAAGGAGAAAAGAAGGGAAAAUUGGAUUCAGAAGAUAGAAAUAAUCCAGGAAGAAAAACAAAAAUGCAAACAGUUUACAUUCAUUUCAUGCUUCAACUAGCAACUGACAAUUAAAGCACCAACAACAGCACCAACAACAGCCACAAUCACCUUCACUAUCUUUUGCUGACUCUUGUAAUGGUUCCC
Long non-coding RNA from Antechinus flavipes (yellow-footed antechinus), 435 nucleotides. RefSeq lists it as uncharacterized. Lineage: Eukaryota; Metazoa; Chordata; Mammalia; Dasyuromorphia; Dasyuridae. The transcript is spliced from 3 exons. The record is from RefSeq and is a predicted model, not a curated record.